Molecule: ribosomal RNA, 253 nt
Filed under: uncultured prokaryote
Description: partial 16S ribosomal RNA
Rfam family: Bacterial small subunit ribosomal RNA
Source: RNAcentral
GACAGAGGGUGCAAACGUUGUUCGGAAUUACUGGGCGUAAAGCGUGUGUAGGCGGUCCGGCAAGUCGGAUGUGAAAGCCCCGGGCUCAACCCGGGAAGUGCACCCGAUACUGCCAGACUAGAGUACCGGAGAGGUUGGUGGAAUUCUCGGUGUAGAGGUGAAAUUCGUAGAUAUCGUAAGGAAGACCAGUGGCGAAGGCGGGUCUCUAGACAGUUCCUGACGCUGAAGUACGAAGGCCAGGGGAGCAAACGGG